RNAcentral lists this ribosomal RNA (724 nucleotides) under Pseudomonas sp. Its description in RNAcentral is "bacterial SSU rRNA". It matches the Rfam family "Bacterial small subunit ribosomal RNA", at positions 25 to 744 of the family's 1533-position model. Lineage: Bacteria; Pseudomonadati; Pseudomonadota; Gammaproteobacteria; Pseudomonadales; Pseudomonadaceae. The record is from RNAcentral.
CAGAUUGAACGCUGGCGGCAGGCCUAACACAUGCAAGUCGAGCGGAUGAAGGGAGCUUGCUCCUGGAUUCAGCGGCGGACGGGUGAGUAAUGCCUAGGAAUCUGCCUGGUAGUGGGGGAUAACGUCCGGAAACGGGCGCUAAUACCGCAUACGUCCUACGGGAGAAAGCAGGGGACCUUCGGGCCUUGCGCUAUCAGAUGAGCCUAGGUCGGAUUAGCUUGUUGGUGAGGUAAUGGCUCACCAAGGCUGCGAUCCGUAACUGGUCUGAGAGGAUGAUCAGUCACACUGGAACUGAGACACGGUCCAGACUCCUACGGGAGGCAGCAGUGGGGAAUAUUGGACAAUGGGCGAAAGCCUGAUCCAGCCAUGCCGCGUGUGUGAAGAAGGUCUUCGGAUUGUAAAGCACUUUAAGUUGGGAGGAAGGGUUGUAGGUUAAUACCCUGCAAUUUUGACGUUACCGACAGAAUAAGCACCGGCUAACUUCGUGCCAGCAGCCGCGGUAAUACGAAGGGUGCAAGCGUUAAUCGGAAUUACUGGGCGUAAAGCGCGCGUAGGUGGUUUGUCAAGUUGGAAGUGAAAGCCCCGGGCUCAACCUGGGAACUGCUUUCAAAACUGGCAAGCUAGAGUAUGGCAGAGGGUGGUGGAAUUUCCUGUGUAGCGGUGAAAUGCGUAGAUAUAGGAAGGAACAUCAGUGGCGAAGGCGACCACCUGGGCCAAUACUGAC